RNAcentral lists this transfer RNA (142 nucleotides) under Alphaproteobacteria bacterium. Its description in RNAcentral is "tRNA-Arg". The record is from RNAcentral. Lineage: Bacteria; Pseudomonadati; Pseudomonadota; Alphaproteobacteria.
AACGCGCCCGUAGCUCAGCCGGAUAGAGCACCAGAUUCCUAAUCUGGUAACAGGGCUACGCUGUAAUGCGCAGAUUUUCCAUAAACUGCUGAAAAAGCGUAGAUAAUUUGAGAUUUGUUGACUUGAGCAAUCGCCCGCGCUA